GUUCCUCCUCAAAAGUCAGGUUUGGUCUAACCUUAAUCUCCUCAAUCGAGACAAUAUGCGUGGGAUCAGAGCGAUAUCGCCUCAGCAUAGAGACAUGGAACACAUCAUGAAUCUGAUCCAACUCUAGAGGUAACUCAAGCUGAUAGGCAACCUUUCCUACAAGCUUCAAUAUACGAUAAGGCCCAAUGAAUCUAGGGCUUAACUUGCCCUUUCGAGCAAACCUCAAUACUUUCUUCCACGGCGACACCAUAAGAAAUACCAAAUCCCCC
RNAcentral lists this long non-coding RNA (269 nucleotides) under Gossypium barbadense (sea-island cotton). Its description in RNAcentral is "long non-coding RNA (GBAR_LNC008087)". The record is from RNAcentral. Lineage: Eukaryota; Viridiplantae; Streptophyta; Magnoliopsida; Malvales; Malvaceae.